Haliotis rubra (blacklip abalone) is the source of this 1363-nucleotide long non-coding RNA. RefSeq lists it as uncharacterized. Lineage: Eukaryota; Metazoa; Mollusca; Gastropoda; Lepetellida; Haliotidae. The transcript is spliced from 3 exons. The record is from RefSeq and is a predicted model, not a curated record.
AUUCAUCACAAUAGUUUGUGUAUGAUAUUAACAAUAUUUCCAUUGAAGAUGAACACUGUUUUAUGGAUACCAGCUUCUUAAUGCCACUUAAAGACAAUAUUUCCACUAUCAAUCUUUUUAGUUAGGCCUACCUACUAUAGCUUUGUUAUUGACGUAUAUAGUGGAUGGUUGGUGCUAAAUGAUUCAGAUCUAGAUAAUAUGAAUUAUGUCAUAAUACUCAAUUUCAGAAGUUAACACUCCUGUAUAUAAGAAAGUGAUAACUUAAGACUUUUCAGUAUACAAAUCUUGUAUAUAAGAAUGAUAUACCGGUAUACCAUUAAGCCAAACAAAAUUAUUUCAUUUUUUAAUUUGUAGUUAAUAUAGGGUGGGUUGUUUUGAAAUGUGCACAAACCAGACACACGUUUUGAAACUGCAUUCUGUAUGCUCUUGAAAUAUACAUUUAACACUGCUACAUCUUUGUUUUUAUAUUUUUUGUGAACAUCUAAAUAUGGCAAAAUGUGUUAUAUUUGGAAUUAUACAGUAAAGUACAGGUUCUAGUAAUUUUAGGGUUGAGUCCAAUCCAGGAUUCGAACCCACAUUCUCAGAGUCAGGCACCUAAUAACCAGAACACAAAGUCAGCAAUCUAACCCACUCAGCCACCGUGACAACUGGUCGUCAAGAUCACCUACUUUGUGUCCCCCGAGACGAGUGUAAAUUGUCACGGCUAUGAAAACAUACGAUGGUUGGUAUUGUGUAUUCAUGUACACAUGGCAUCUACAUCGAAUGUAUAAACAAGAUGCAACUGAUGCUCGGUGAAAACAUGGUAUGGGAAAACUGUAUGUUCCUCCCGAUGGUUGCAAGGUGAAGGCCAUAUAUUACCCUAUACAAGUUAUGGAACAUCCAGACUUGGAAUUCUGUGUGUUGGAAUACCCAUGUUGAGCAUCCUUCACUGAAUUAUUUUCAGAUAACAAGAUUGGUGUUUUUUAACUUUUUAUGAGUAGAAUAUUUUUUGAAAAUGCACAGAGAGUCAGUUGAAAGGUUUUCAAGAAUCUAUAGUCAUGGAAUAGUUACAGAUUAUGUCAUGACAAUCAGUUUCAGGAUGUGAAAAUGAAAUUAAUUUUGUCAAAAAAUAAAUGCAAAAUAGAUGUGUUUUACGAAAAAUCAACUUGCUUUGGUAAAAUAAAUUAUUCAGUCAUUGAUUAUUCAAUCUUUGCUGUAUUUAAAUGAUGGAAGGCUGCCUGUUAGUGUUUGUUGAUACCUUGUGUGAGCUGUUAUAUAACCACUAAAGGUCAAAAUAUGUGUACAUAGACACACUUUAAGCCAAGUAAAGUGACAAUGUUGAUUUUCAUUUGCAGACAUUUCACAUAAUUUAAACAUUUUAUUU